Molecule: ribosomal RNA, 254 nt
Filed under: uncultured bacterium
Lineage: Bacteria
Description: partial 16S ribosomal RNA
Rfam family: Bacterial small subunit ribosomal RNA
Source: RNAcentral
UACGUAGGGUGCGAGCGUUAAUCGGAAUUACUGGGCGUAAAGCGUGCGCAGGCGGCUUUGCAAGACAGAUGUGAAAUCCCCGGGCUCAACCUGGGAACUGCAUUUGUGACUGCAUGGCUAGAGUGCGGCAGAGGGGGAUGGAAUUCCAGGUGUAGCGGUGAAAUGCGUAGAUAUCUGGAGGAACACCGGUGGCGAAGGCGGCAUCCUGGACCAACACUGACGCUGAGUGAGCGAAAGCCAGGGGAGCAAACGGG